CACAUUUGUAAGAAUUAUGUGAGCAUUCCUUUGGAUGGGAUAAAAUCCGUAAUCAACUAUAAUAGGAAGAGUUUGGAGUGAACAUUUUUAAAGAGAAAAGUUUAACCUUUCUACAUUGCUCAUCAUAGGGAUGGUGCCAAUGGGGAGGCUAGUGGUAGUACCCGGCACUAUUUGACCCAACUAUUCGGUGUAGGGUAUAUUAGGGACGGCACAAGAGGGAGGCUAGUGGUAGUACCUCGUGCCCCUUCCAACUCCACCGGAUAGGGAGCAAAUAGAAUAUAGAGCAUAGAAAAGUAAAACCAAAAAACAAAUGAAGAUAAUCAAAAUGUUCAUUGA
RNAcentral lists this long non-coding RNA (336 nucleotides) under Phoenix dactylifera (date palm). Its description in RNAcentral is "long non-coding RNA (PDAC_LNC012206)". Lineage: Eukaryota; Viridiplantae; Streptophyta; Magnoliopsida; Arecales; Arecaceae. The record is from RNAcentral.